Melanaphis sacchari is the source of this 1195-nucleotide long non-coding RNA. RefSeq lists it as uncharacterized. The transcript has 3 exons. The record is from RefSeq and is a predicted model, not a curated record. Lineage: Eukaryota; Metazoa; Arthropoda; Insecta; Hemiptera; Aphididae.
UUCCCCUUUCCUUAAGGGGCAUUUUAAGAUAGAUAUAAAAAAUUCGAUUUCAGUAUUAAACUACCAACUAUACAAGUAGAUCAUAAUGGGUGCAUUCGUCAUGCACGCUUCAGUUUUAUUAACUUUUAGUGAUUACUGCUACGCUCAAAAUUUAAACUACGCUAAAGACAUUAAAUUUUCGUUUAUGAGUGUUUGCUGUUUAGGCAUUAAUGCUGGAUCCAAUAGAUAGAUAAACUAGCAUUUAUGGGCAACAAAUUGGAUAUAUCAUAUUUUUCUCCUCAAGGAAAGAACCUGACAAAGACAGCUGUUUCCAUGACUAGCUAAUAAGAUGGAGGUACUUUGCAGACACAAUUAAGUUGUCUGAAUUAAAAAAGAUGUAGUUUAAAUCACAAUUUAAAUGCUCUCUACCUAGCUACACAAUUUAAAAAUGGAGCUUGUGAUGGCUGAUAUUCUCAAAAUGUACAUAAAAUAUAUACAUAAUUAGUUAAAUUAAAAUAACCAAUCAAUUUAAUGUGGUCAUAUUUUUAUGUAUAUUUAUGUUUUAUUUAAUUGAUAUAAAAUAUUGUUGGCUAUACAAUAAAACUUUGUAAAUCACAAUAUAGUGAAACUUUCAUAUCAUAAUGAAUUAAUUUUUAACAAAAUAUUUUUGAUAACUAUGACUUUCAUUGUUAACUACACAAAGAUUUAUCUCCUUAUAAUUAAUCUAAUACUUUUAUAUAAUGAAUAAAUUAUUUGAUGACAAAUUUGUUUUUUUGUAAUAUGUCAAAAUUAUCAAACGUUAAAAAUAAAAUGUAAAUUCUAGUGAAUAUGAAGAUCCAUGUAGAAGAACAAUCAAAACUUUUAGAAGAGAUUAAAUGCUUCCUUUGUAGUAAGAAAUUGUUAUUUGUUAUUGUUAAGACAAUCAGUCAACAAUAUUUUUAUAAAAUAUACUAUUUAUAUACACUUAAAAUGAUAUUAUUAUUAUAUUUAAUAAUUUUAAUAAUAUGUUAAACAAUAAGUUAUUUAGCGUGUUUAGAGCAUAAUAGAGUUGAUUGGACUGGUAAAUUUGUCAUCUCAAUGUACAUUAGUUUAAAUAUCACAAUAUGUUUCUCUGACAUUUAUUCAUGGUAUUUUUAUUUCUCAUUUUUUUGUUAAUUUGCUUGUUAUGUUCAUAUUUUAUUAAAUCUUCGAGCAGAAUUUAUUGAUUACUUUAUAA